RNAcentral lists this ribosomal RNA (480 nucleotides) under uncultured bacterium. RNAcentral's name for it is "bacterial SSU rRNA". It matches the Rfam family "Bacterial small subunit ribosomal RNA", at positions 29 to 513 of the family's 1533-position model. The record is from RNAcentral.
AUUGAACGCUGGCGGCAUGCCUAACACAUGCAAGUCGAACGGAGGCAGCGAUGCCUCAGUGGCGGACGGGUGAGGAACGCGUAGGAAUCGACCCACGAGUGGGGGACAACCUGGGGAAACUCAGGCUAAUACCGCAUACGCUCGCGAGAGGAAAGCGGGGGACCUUCGGGCCUCGCGCUGGUGGACGAGCCUACGUCCGAUUAGCUGGUUGGUGGGGUAAAAGCCUACCAAGGCGACGAUCGGUAGCGGGUCUGAGAGGACGACCCGCCACACUGGGACUGAGACACGGCCCAGACUCCUACGGGAGGCAGCAGUGGGGAAUAUUGGACAAUGGGCGCAAGCCUGAUCCAGCAAUGCCGCGUGGGGUGAAGACGGCCUGCGGGUUGUAAAGCCCUUUAGGCGGGGAGGAACGGUCGGGUGCGAAGACCACCGGCGCUGACGUUACCCGCAGAAUAAGCACCGGCUAACUCCGUGCCAGCA